This 440-nucleotide ribosomal RNA is filed under the name uncultured bacterium. RNAcentral describes it as "partial 16S ribosomal RNA". It matches the Rfam family "Bacterial small subunit ribosomal RNA", at positions 338 to 795 of the family's 1533-position model. The record is from RNAcentral.
CCUACGGGAGGCAGCAGUGGGGAAUAUUGCACAAUGGGGGAAACCCUGAUGCAGCGACGCCGCGUGAAGGAAGAAGUAUUUCGGUAUGUAAACUUCUAUCAGCAGGGAAGAAAAUGACGGUACCUGACUAAGAAGCCCCGGCUAACUACGUGCCAGCAGCCGCGGUAAUACGUAGGGGGCAAGCGUUAUCCGGAGUUACUGGGUGUAAAGGGAGCGUAGGCGGUGAAGCAAGUGAGAAGUGAAAGCCCGGGGCUCAACACCGGGACUGCUUUUGAAACUGUUGAACUAGAGUGCAGGAGAGGUAAGUGGAAUUCCUAGUGUAGCGGUGAAAUGCGUAGAUAUUAGGAGGAACACCAGUGGCGAAGGUGGCUUACUGGACUGUAAAUGACGCUGAGGCUCGAAAGCGUGGGGAGCAAACAGGAUUAGAUACCCCUGUAGUC